RNAcentral lists this ribosomal RNA (374 nucleotides) under uncultured Clostridia bacterium. RNAcentral describes it as "bacterial SSU rRNA". It matches the Rfam family "Bacterial small subunit ribosomal RNA", at positions 114 to 507 of the family's 1533-position model. Lineage: Bacteria; Bacillati; Bacillota; Clostridia. The record is from RNAcentral.
CGCGUGAGUAACCUGCCUUGCACAAGGGGAUAGCCGUUGGAAACGACGAAUAAUACCCUAUGAUAUAAACUCUUCGCAUGAAGAGCUUAUCAAAGAUUUAUCGGUGUAAGAUGGACUCGCGUCUGAUUAGCUAGUUGGUGGGGUAACAGCCUACCAAGGCAACGAUCAGUAGCCGGCUUGAGAGAGUGUACGGCCACAUUGGGACUGAGACACGGCCCAGACUCCUACGGGAGGCAGCAGUGGGGAAUUUUGCACAAUGGGGGCAACCCUGAUGCAGCGACGCCGCGUGAUUUAGAAGGCCUUCGGGUUGUAAAAAUCUUUUGUAUGGGAAGAAAAUGACAGUACCAUACGAAUAAGGACCGGCUAAUUACGUG